Molecule: ribosomal RNA, 498 nt
Filed under: uncultured bacterium
Lineage: Bacteria
Description: bacterial SSU rRNA
Rfam family: Bacterial small subunit ribosomal RNA
Source: RNAcentral
ACUCAAAUGAAUAGACGGGGCCCCGCACAAGCGGCGGAGCAUGCGGAUUAAUUCGAUGCAACGCGAAGAACCUUACCUGGGUUUGACAUAUGCCGGAAACAUCCAGAGAUGGAUGCCCCUUUUUGGUCGGUUUACAGGUGGUGCAUGGCUGUCGUCAGCUCGUGUCGUGAGAUGUUGGGUUAAGUCCCGCAACGAGCGCAACCCUCGUCCUAUGUUGCCAGCGGGUAAUGCCGGGGACUCAUAGGAGACCGCCGGGGUCAACUCGGAGGAAGGUGGGGAUGACGUCAAGUCAUCAUGCCCCUUAUGUCCAGGGCUUCACGCAUGCUACAAUGGCCGGUACAAAGAGCUGCGAGCCUGUAAGGGUGAGCGAAUCUCAAAAAGCCGGUCUCAGUUCGGAUUGGGGUCUGCAACUCGACCCCAUGAAGUCGGAGUCGCUAGUAAUCGCAGAUCAGCAACGCUGCGGUGAAUACGUUCCCGGGGCUUGCACACACCGCCCGU